AUCCAGCCGACGAGUCCCAAAUAGGACGAAAUGCACAUCUUGGAC
Molecule: non-coding RNA, 45 nt
Filed under: Trichobilharzia regenti
Lineage: Eukaryota; Metazoa; Platyhelminthes; Trematoda; Strigeidida; Schistosomatidae
Source: RNAcentral